GUCUAUGGCCAUGCCAUCAUGAACAUACCAAUCUUGUCUAAUCUCAGAAGCUAAGCAGGGUCAGGCCUGGUUAGUACUUGGAUGGGAGACCACCUACGAAGACCAGGUGCUGUUGGUG
This 118-nucleotide ribosomal RNA is filed under the name Pteropus alecto (black flying fox). The record is from RNAcentral. Lineage: Eukaryota; Metazoa; Chordata; Mammalia; Chiroptera; Pteropodidae.